This 1692-nucleotide ribosomal RNA is filed under the name Ostracion immaculatus (bluespotted boxfish). Its description in RNAcentral is "16S rRNA". The stretch from base 99 to 1574 matches the Rfam family "Bacterial large subunit ribosomal RNA". Lineage: Eukaryota; Metazoa; Chordata; Actinopteri; Tetraodontiformes; Ostraciidae. The record is from RNAcentral.
CGCCCAACAGCUAGCCCAUUUUAAUAAAAACAACCUACCAACAUAAAUAAACCCUAAUGCACUACAAAUUAUUAAACAAACCAUUUUCCCACCUCAGUAUAGGAGAUAGAAAAGGACACAAGAGCAAUAGAAAAAGUACCGCAAGGGAACGCUGAAAGAGAAAUGAAACAACCCAGUAAAGCAUAAAAAAGCAGAGAUUUAAACUCGUACCUUUUGCAUCAUGAUUUAGCUAGUAUAUUCAAGCAAAGAGCGCUUUAGUUUGAAACCCCGAAACUAAGUGAGCUACUUCAAGACAGCCUAUAAUAGGGCACACCCGUCUCUGUGGCAAAAGAGUGGGAAGAGCUUCAAGUAGAGGUGAUAAACCUACCGAACUUAGUUAUAGCUGGUUGUCUAUGAAUUGGAUAGAAGUUCAGCCUCUAGGCUUCUCCACUCAUCGCACAUAUUAACCCAAAUUGAUACUCAAGAAACCUAGAGAGUUAAUCAAAGGGGGUACAGCCCCUUUGAUUCAAGAUACAACUUUAUUAGGAGGUUAAAGAUCAUAAUUACCUAAGGUAUAAUGUUUUGGUGGGCCUAAAAGCAGCCAUCCAGUUAGAAAGCGUUAAAGCUCAAACAUACCCAUCCCCCAAUAUCCAGAUAAAUAAUUCCUAAACCCCUAACAUUAAUAGACCAUUCUAUGCAAACAUAGAAGAGAUUAUGCUAAUAUGAGUAAUAAGAGAACAUCCGCUUCUCUCCAAGCACAAGUGUAAAUCGGAACGAACCAUUCACCGAACCCUAACGGCCCCAACUAAAGAGUGUACUGAAUUAUAAAUUAAAUAACAAGAAAACUAUUCAUUAAUAAACCGUUAAUCCUACACUGGCAUGCUAACAAGGAAAGACUCAAAGAAAGUAAAGGAACUCGGCAAACAUAAGCCUCGCCUGUUUACCAAAAACAUCGCCUCUUGCAAAACUAAAGAAUAAGAGGUCCCGCCUGCCCUGUGACGAUAAGUUUAACGGCCGCGGUAUUUUGACCGUGCGAAGGUAGCGCAAUCACUUGUCUCUUAAAUGGGGACCUGUAUGAAUGGCACCACGAGGGCUUGACUGUCUCUACUUUCCGGUCAAUGAAAUUGAUCCCCCCGUGCAGAAGCGGGGAUUAUAACAUAAGACGAGAAGACCCUAUGGAGCUUUAGACACUAAAGCAGAUCACGUCAAACACCCCUAAUUAAAGGAAUAAAACCAAAUGAACCCUGCCCUACUGUCUUUGGUUGGGGCGACCGCGGGGAAAUACAAAACCCCCACGUGGAAUGAGACCACCUGUCUUAAAACCAAGAGCUCCCGCUCUACUAAACAGAACUUCUGACCAAUAAGAUCCGGCUCUGCCGAUCAACGGACCGAGUUACCCUAGGGAUAACAGCGCAAUCCCCUUCUAGAGCCCAUAUCGACAAGGGGGUUUACGACCUCGAUGUUGGAUCAGGACAUCCUAAUGGUGCAGCCGCUAUUAAGGGUUCGUUUGUUCAACGAUUAAAGUCCUACGUGAUCUGAGUUCAGACCGGAGUAAUCCAGGUCAGUUUCUAUCUAUGACAUAAUCUUUUCUAGUACGAAAGGACCGAAAAGAAGAGGCCACUACCUAAAGUACGCCUCACCCUUACCUAAUGAAAACAAAUAAAAUAGGCAAAAGGGUAUACCCCCCCCCCCCAGCCAGAGAUAAUGGCAGGU